Molecule: ribosomal RNA, 253 nt
Filed under: uncultured bacterium
Lineage: Bacteria
Description: partial 16S ribosomal RNA
Rfam family: Bacterial small subunit ribosomal RNA
Source: RNAcentral
UACAGAGGUCUCAAGCGUUGUUCGGAUUCAUUGGGCGUAAAGGGUGCGCAGGCGGCGGGGCAAGUCGGACGUGAAAUCUCGGGGCUUAACCCCGAAACUGCGUUCGAUACUGCCCUGCUAGAGGACUGGAGAGGAGACUGGAAUUCCUGGUGUAGCAGUGAAAUGCGUAGAUAUCAGGAGGAACGCCAAUGGCGAAGGCAAGUCUCUGGACAGUUCCUGACGCUCAUGCACGAAGGCCAGGGGAGCAAACGGG